CCUACGGGAGGCAGCAGUGGGGAAUAUUGCACAAUGGGGGAAACUCUGAUGCAGCGACGCCGCGUGAGUGAAGAAGUAAUUCGUUAUGUAAAGCUCUAUCAGCAGGGAAGAAAAUGACGGUACCUGAGUAAGAAGCCCCGGCUAACUACGUGCCAGCAGCCGCGGUAAUACGUAGGGGGCAAGCGUUAUCCGGAUUUACUGGGUGUAAAGGGAGCGUAGACGGCAGUGCAAGUCUGGAGUGAAAGGCGGGGGCUCAACCCCCGGACUGCUCUGGAAACUGUGGCGCUGGAGUACGGGAGGGGCAGGCGGAAUUCCUGGUGUAGCGGUGAAAUGCGUAGAGAGCAGGAGGAACACCGGCGGCGAAGGCGGCCUGCUGGACCGUGACUGACGUUGAGGCUCGAGAGCGUGGGGAGCAAACAGGAUUAGAUACCCUAGUAGUC
This 440-nucleotide ribosomal RNA is filed under the name uncultured bacterium. RNAcentral's name for it is "partial 16S ribosomal RNA". It matches the Rfam family "Bacterial small subunit ribosomal RNA", at positions 338 to 795 of the family's 1533-position model. The record is from RNAcentral.